GAGCUGUCUUUGAGAGCACAUAUACUAAAAUUGGAACAGUGCAGAGAAGAUUAUCAUGGCUCCUGUGCAAGAAUGAUGUGCAAAUUUGUGAAGUGUUCCAUAUUUUA
Small nuclear RNA from Cebus imitator (Panamanian white-faced capuchin), 107 nucleotides. The record is from RefSeq and is a predicted model, not a curated record. NCBI's taxonomy places the organism in Eukaryota, Metazoa, Chordata, Mammalia, Primates, Cebidae.